RNAcentral lists this ribosomal RNA (460 nucleotides) under uncultured bacterium. Its description in RNAcentral is "partial 16S ribosomal RNA". It matches the Rfam family "Bacterial small subunit ribosomal RNA", at positions 338 to 795 of the family's 1533-position model. The record is from RNAcentral.
CCUACGGGAGGCAGCAGUGAGGAAUAUUGGUCAAUGGACGAGAGUCUGAACCAGCCAAGUAGCGUGAAGGAUGACUGCCCUAUGGGUUGUAAACUUCUUUUAUAUGGGAAUAAAACGUUCCACGUGUGGGAUUUUGUAUGUACCAUAUGAAUAAGGAUCGGCUAACUCCGUGCCAGCAGCCGCGGUAAUACGGAGGAUCCGAGCGUUAUCCGGAUUUAUUGGGUUUAAAGGGAGCGUAGGUGGUUUGUUAAGUCAGUUGUGAAAGUUUGCGGCUCAACCGUAAAAUUGCAGUUGAAACUGGCAGUCUUGAGUACAGUAGAGGUGAGCGGAAUUCGUGGUGUAGCGGUGAAAUGCUUAGAUAUCACGAAGAACUCCGAUUGCGAAGGCAGUUCACUGGACUGCAACUGACACUGAGGCUCGAAAGUGUGGGUAUCAAACAGGAUUAGAUACCCGUGUAGUC